UGUUAAAAAGUUCAUUCAUUUAUAUCAUUAAAAAUUAGUGUAACUAUUAGAAUAACUAAACAAUUGCACAUGACGUGCCACGUGUACUUCAUGUUGACGUACAUAGACUAAUUUUUAAUAAUAAAAAUUGAUUAAAUUUUUAACA
This is a non-coding RNA of Gossypium hirsutum (cotton), 145 nucleotides long. NCBI's taxonomy places the organism in Eukaryota, Viridiplantae, Streptophyta, Magnoliopsida, Malvales, Malvaceae. The record is from Rfam.